RNAcentral lists this ribosomal RNA (253 nucleotides) under uncultured bacterium. RNAcentral's name for it is "partial 16S ribosomal RNA". It matches the Rfam family "Bacterial small subunit ribosomal RNA", at positions 524 to 776 of the family's 1533-position model. The record is from RNAcentral.
UACAGAGGGUGCGAGCGUUAAUCGGAAUUACUGGGCGUAAAGCGCACGUAGGUGGCGACGUAAGUCGGGUGUGAAAGCCCCGGGCUCAACCUGGGAAUUGCAUUCGAGACUGUGUCGCUGGAGUACGGAAGAGGAAGGCGGAAUUCCCGGUGUAGCGGUGAAAUGCGUAGAUAUCAGGAGGAACACCGGUGGCGAAGGCGGCUUUCUGGACAGAUACCGACGCUGAGGCACGAAAGCUAGGGGAGCAAACAGG